Molecule: ribosomal RNA, 465 nt
Filed under: Vreelandella stevensii
Lineage: Bacteria; Pseudomonadati; Pseudomonadota; Gammaproteobacteria; Oceanospirillales; Halomonadaceae
Description: partial 16S ribosomal RNA
Rfam family: Bacterial small subunit ribosomal RNA
Source: RNAcentral
CCUACGGGCGGCAGCAGUGGGGAAUAUUGGACAAUGGGGGCAACCCUGAUCCAGCCAUGCCGCGUGUGUGAAGAAGGCCCUCGGGUUGUAAAGCACUUUCAGUGAGGAAGAACGCCUGGUGGUUAAUACCCAUCGGGAAAGACAUCACUCACAGAAGAAGCACCGGCUAACUCCGUGCCAGCAGCCGCGGUAAUACGGAGGGUGCGAGCGUUAAUCGGAAUUACUGGGCGUAAAGCGCGCGUAGGUGGCUUGAUAAGCCGGUUGUGAAAGCCCCGGGCUCAACCUGGGAACGGCAUCCGGAACUGUCAAGCUAGAGUGCAGGAGAGGAAGGUAGAAUUCCCGGUGUAGCGGUGAAAUGCGUAGAGAUCGGGAGGAAUACCAGUGGCGAAGGCGGCCUUCUGGACUGACACUGACACUGAGGUGCGAAAGCGUGGGUAGCAAACAGGAUUAGAUACCCGUGUAGUC